Molecule: transfer-messenger RNA, 363 nt
Filed under: Enterobacteriaceae (enterobacteria)
Lineage: Bacteria; Pseudomonadati; Pseudomonadota; Gammaproteobacteria; Enterobacterales
Also listed under: 2 other names
Description: Escherichia sp005843885 Standard tmRNA
Rfam family: transfer-messenger RNA
About the family: Bacterial tmRNA, also known as 10Sa RNA or SsrA, is named for its dual tRNA and mRNA-like properties. Its role is to liberate the mRNA from a stalled ribosome. To accomplish this part of the tmRNA is used as a reading frame that ends in a translation stop signal.
Source: RNAcentral
GGGGCUGAUUCUGGAUUCGACGGGAUUUGCGAAACCCAAGGUGCAUGCCGAGGGGCGGUUGGCCUCGUAAAAAGCCGCAAAAAAUAGUCGCAAACGACGAAAACUACGCUUUAGCAGCUUAAUAACCUGCUUAGAGCCCUCUCUCCCUAGCCUCCGCUCUCAGGACGGGGAUCAAGAGAGGUCAAACCCAAAAGAGAUCGCGUGGAAGCCCUGCCUGGGGUUGAAGCGUUAAAACUUAAUCAGGCUAGUUUGUUAGUGGCGUGUCCGUCCGCAGCUGGCAAGCGAAUGUAAAGACUGACUAAGCAUGUAGUACCGAGGACGUAGGAAUUUCGGACGCGGGUUCAACUCCCGCCAGCUCCACCA